UUUAGAGAAGACAGUUAAACAGAGACAGGGAUGGCUAGAAGAUGGCAGCUCUUCACAGAUCCGGGGAGGAAUGUUCCUGUCAGAAAAGAUUGCUGAAACAAAAGAUUGCUGAGGUUGGAAAGCACUUGGUGAGUUGAUGAAUUGGGCACAGAGCCAGAUGGCUGUCUGCAAGCGAGGUUUGUCCAGAGUGGGAAGAGGAUGCUACAGUUUUAGCUGUACACACUAUCUCUGGCAGAAUGGGCUUUAUUUUGAAGUUCAAGCUGACAGAAUAAAGAACACCACAUCUCCUCCGUUGUUCUCAUGUCUCACUUUCUUUUCUUUUCUCUCCAUUCUUCCCACCCUCCUCUCCUCCCUCCCUUCUCUUUUUUUUCUUCCUCAUUUCUUUUGACUUUUGUUUGUUUGUUUGUUUGUUUGUAAGUUUUUCAAGCAGGGUUUUUCUGUGUAGCCCUGGCUAUCCUAGAACUAUGGUCACCAGGCUGGCCUUGAAUUCAGAGAUCUGCCUGCCUCUGCCUCUAAGUGCUGGGAUCAAAUGUGGGCACUACCACUGCCCUAAGGGAUUGUAUCCUUUUCACACCCUGUCUGACUUGAGCAUAACUCAUCAGCAAACUCAGAAACUAUUUUCUUUUUCCUCGGAUCCAGCGGAAGUUAGGGACUGCCUAAGCUUAGAACUUUCUUUAGAUUUGUGUUAGAACAAGUUUUCUUGCUGUCAUCUAGAGACCAGCUCAGUACACAUUCUCUGUCCCUUUCCACAUAGACUCUAGCCUGCCUGCCAUCUUAACAUCCUUCUCAGUCUCUUCCCUCCACAGUCUGCCUUAAAGAAUUCCCAUCAUUGCAGAGUCUUUCUUCUCCUAUAGCUAAAGCCAAAGCUGAUAUUUUUGUUUCUGUUUUCCUCCUUUAAAUCUCAUUUUAUCCACUUGGAAAACAUAACAGUUACUAUUUUGGGAGGACUAGAAUUGCUUUCAGUUUGGAGUUUUUUAAUUCAUUCUAAAAUGCAUAUGCACAGAUAGACAGGCAGAUAGUUUGAGAGAGAGAGAGAGAGGGAGAGAGAGAGGGGUAUUAUGGAUCAGACCAAGAACUUUAUAAGAAAAUCAUUUCCUGGCAUCAUCUUGGUUCACAAUAUGAUUUACUUUGGACUGGACAGUAAAUUGGAACAUAAUAACCAUAUCUGACAUCUCCCCAGAGAGACUCAAGUGCCCUAAAAUAAUACUAUAUUAUUUUUCUGUUAUUGUGAAAAAGCACCUUGACCUAAGUUGACCUGCAUAAGCAUCUAUUUUGCUUAUGUUUCCAGAGGGAGAGUCCAUAAUGCAGAGGAAGCAUGGCAAUGGACAGCUACGGCAGCAAGAUCAUAAUUUCAACCACAGGCAGAAAGCAGAGAGUACCAACUAGAACUGGGGCAAAGCUAUAAACUCUCAAAGCCUUCUUUGAGUGAUGUGCAUCCCGUAACACCUGGGAGGUGUGUCAGCUCCCUAAACAGUGCCAUCCACUAGGUAACAAUUACUCAAAUACACAGGCUUAUUGGGGAUGUUCCUCACUCAAAUCACCACAAAUGCAUCCCCCUUUUCUACUUCUUUGAUGAUUAGCCAAAGAGUUCUCACAGAGAACACCGGCAAGCAGAUCUACUUUGUAUCUCUUGUUCUCAUGUGUGGUUAACCAUGAGUAUGGAUUCUCAAGUGUCUCUCCUGGAUUAAUUUACAAGCUUUCUUACUGAGCCUAUAUUGCUGUACAAUGAGAACUGCUUUCUACAUUAGGCUGGGUCAGGUUCAACUUUUGAAAAUAGCUAGAUAAUAAAAAUUCGGAGUUUUCGAUUAUGAUACUUACAAGUAACUCUCUCUUUCCCCCCUCUCCUUCCUUUGUACACUCCAAUUUGUAGUAUAGAAAAAUGUGCCUUGUAGGUAUGGGGAAUGUGGUGAUGGAAGACUGUGAGGAGCAGGCUUACAGGAAAUGUGACUGCUACCCCCUGCCACUCAUUCCUCACAUUCAAACCAAAGUCACCACUUUCCACUGCCAGCUUGUGUUCACCUCCCCAUCCUCCAUGUGAAGUCGCCAUCUGACCUGGCUAUGGAGGAGAUGCCACUUCUCUGCAGGAGAUCUACCACAGGAGCUAAAAAUAAGGGCUGCUAUAUUUCUGUAGACACUGCUAACCCAAUUAG
This 2150-nucleotide long non-coding RNA is filed under the name Mus musculus (house mouse). RNAcentral's name for it is "long non-coding RNA chr12:89701102-89703252". The record is from RNAcentral. Lineage: Eukaryota; Metazoa; Chordata; Mammalia; Rodentia; Muridae.